This 166-nucleotide ribosomal RNA is filed under the name uncultured bacterium. Its description in RNAcentral is "partial 16S rRNA". It matches the Rfam family "Bacterial small subunit ribosomal RNA", at positions 355 to 511 of the family's 1533-position model. The record is from RNAcentral.
UAGGGAAUCUUCCACAAUGGGCGGAAAGACCGUGAUGGAGCAACGCCGCGUGUGUGAUGAAGGGUUUCGGCUCGUAAACACUGUUGUAAGAGAAGAAUGACAUUGAGAGUAACUGUUCAAUGUGUGACGGUAUCUUACCAGAAAGGAACGGCUAAAUACGUACCAG